UGGGGAAUUUUGGACAAUGGACGCAAGUCUGAUCCAGCCAUGCCGCGUGCGGGAAGAAGGCCUUCGGGUUGUAAACCGCUUUUGUCAGGAAAGAAACGAGUUUCUCUAAUACAGAGACUUAAUGACGGUACCUGAAGAAUAAGCACCGGCUAACUACGUGCCAGCAGCCGCGGUAAUACGUAGGGUGCAAGCGUUAAUCGGAAUUACUGGGCGUAAAGCGUGCGCAGGCGGUUAUAUAAGACAGAUGUGAAAUCCCCGGGCUCAACCUGGGAACUGCAUUUGUGACUGUAUAGCUAGAGUACGGCAGAGGGGGAUGGAAUUCCGCGUGUAGCAGUGAAAUGCGUAGAUAUGCGGAGGAACACCGAUGGCGAAGGCAAUCCCCUGGGCCUGUACUGACGCUCAUGCACGAAAGCGUGGGGAGCAAACA
This 427-nucleotide ribosomal RNA is filed under the name uncultured bacterium. RNAcentral describes it as "bacterial SSU rRNA". It matches the Rfam family "Bacterial small subunit ribosomal RNA", at positions 355 to 774 of the family's 1533-position model. The record is from RNAcentral.